CACGCAUCCUCUUCGAACCCUAAUUCUCCGCGCUAAACCUUGUCCAUCUAUAUCUCCACCAACGCCGCUAAACCCUAAAUUAUGCCAAUCAUGGAGCAUAAAUCGAUGGCUUGGCGGAUGUCGGUCAAUGAACGGAAGUUCAUAGAGACCGCACUCGCUUCCGAUCUCCGUGUCGACGGCCGGCGCCCUUUUGACUACCGCCGGUUGAACAUUAAGUUUGGGAGAGAAGAUGGUUGUUCAGAAGUGCAACUAGGUGAGACUCAUGUGAUGGCUUAUGUGACUUCUGAACUAGUGCAACCGUAUCGAGAUAGACCAAAUGAAGGAAUUCUUGCUAUAUUCACUGAUUUUUCACCAAUGGCUGAUCCUUCCUUCGAAGCAGGGCGCCCUGGAGAAUCUGCUAUUGAACUUGGUCGUGUUAUAGAUCGUGGUCUUCGGGAAAGCAGGGCGGUGGAUAUGGAGUCCCUAUGUGUUGUUGCAGGAAAAUUAGUGUGGUCUAUCCAAGUGGAUCUACACAUUAUUGAUAAUGGAGGGAAUCUAGUAGAUGCUGCUAAUGUUGCUGCCUUGGCUGCCCUUUUGACAUUUCAAAGGCCUGAAUGUACAGUAGGAGGAGAUAAUGGCCAAGAUAUUAUUAUUCAUGAUCCCAAGGUUGUGGAACCCCUUCCUUUGGUUAUUCAUCAUCUUCCAAUUUCAGUGACUUUUGCAUUUUAUAACAAGGGAGAUAUCAUGGUUAUUGAUCCAACACAUAAAGAAGAGUCUGUUAUGGGAGGAAAGAUGACUGCUACAAUAAAUUCAAACGGUGAUGUUUGUGCAAUUCAAAAAGCAGGAGGAGAAGGUGUCAUGCCAAGUGUAGUCAUGCAGUGUAUAAGAAUCGCCUCUGUGAAAGCUGCUGAUAUCACUAGUAAACUUAAGAAUGCAGUAGAAGUAUACAACACCGAAAGAGCAUUACGGAAGGUUAAGCGCCAUCCAUCUAAAAUGGCACACCAAGUUAGUGUUGCGGAUAUUACACUGGAGGACAAGCAAGUCAAGGAUUUGCCAAGACAUCAAGCAAAAAUGGCAUGUCAACCAUAUAUAGGCUCUAGUCAAGAUGAUGAACCAAAAGUUGAUACUAGAACAUCUACAAAUGCAGAUGGCAACAGUAGUGGCACACAUGCUGAUGCUUUUGUUGGUGGCCCAUCAAAAUGGGAUCCAUAUCCAUUGAGGGUUGGAACAUCUCAAGUACUUGGUACCCUAACGGUAGUUAAGGAAGAACAAGUAGUAAGCGAUGAUCACAGGGCAGUCGAAUGUAGUCUUGACCAUACAACCACUUCUAGUUCGGGAACUGUUAGUGUUUCAGAUGCUAUGCAGAAAUCUAAUACUUCAAAAAGUUUGAAAGAUGCAGUGAAGUUGAAAAAGAGAAAGAAGAAUAGAUCAUCGACCACUACCAGAUGAAUACAUUCAACAUCUACAGUUGUUUUCAGGUGUCUCUUAGAAUUCUUCCUUCCUGUGACUAUGGAUUUCUGGAUGACCUCUGUUGCAACUGAAUAUUGGCAUUUUGCUGUUGUGAAAGUAAUCGUUCUCUGUGCCAUUCGAUGCUUAUGCCAAUGGCUUCCAUCCAAAUUGAUGAAAGCUCUUUAGGCUGUGAAUGUAGUUGAUUAUCCUGAAGACGAGAGCUCGCUGGAAACUUGGACACCAGACUCGCAGAGAUCUAUUGCAAUUGUAAUGGGUUACAUUCGAACGAAUCACCUGAGUUGAUUGGUCAAAUCAUAUUUUAUUUCAACUGAAUCUAUUAGUUAUGGUUAACUUAUAAUGAUUUCAUACCUAAUGUAAUAUAAUCUGAUUUGUAAUCAAGUUGAAUUUGACUGGGGGCUUAUGCUGGAAA
This is an RNA transcript of Zingiber officinale, 1858 nucleotides long. It is a transcript of the gene named exosome complex component RRP45A-like, with no coding region annotated. Lineage: Eukaryota; Viridiplantae; Streptophyta; Magnoliopsida; Zingiberales; Zingiberaceae. The record is from RefSeq and is a predicted model, not a curated record. The transcript is spliced from 11 exons.